AUUUUUAGGUUAAGUUAGAAAGGGCGCACGGUGGAUGCCUUGGCACUAGGAGCCGAUGAAGGACGGUACUAACACCGAUAUGCUUCGGGGAGCUGUAAGUAAGCUUUGAUCCGGAGAUUUCCGAAUGGGGAAACCCUCCAUCCGUAAUGGGAUGGAACCCUUGCCUGAAUACAUAGGGCAYUGGAGGCAGACCCGGGGAACUGAAACAUCUAAGUACCCGGAGGAAGAGAAAGCAAACGCGAUUCCCUGAGUAGCGGCGAGCGAAACGGGAUUAGCCCAAACCAGGAGGCUUGCCUCCUGGGGUUGUAGGACACUCUACACGGAGUUACAAAGGAACGGAGUAAAUGAACAGGCAUGGAAAGGCCGGCCAUAGAGGGUAACAGCCCCGUAGUUGAAACUUCGUUCCCUCCAGAGUGGAUCCUGAGUACGGCGGGACACGUGAAAUCCCGUCGGAAGCAGGGGGUCAGGGUAAUGGCGUGCCUUUUGUAGAAUGAACCGGCGAGUUACGAUUACAUGCGAGGUUAAGUUGAACAGACGGAGCCGCAGCGAAAGCGAGUCUGAAUAGGGCGAAUGAGUAUGUGGUCGUAGACCCGAAACCAGGUGAUCUACCCAUGUCCAGGGUGAAGUCCAGGUAACACUGGAUGGAGGCCCGAACCCACGCACGUUGAAAAGUGCGGGGAUGAGGUGUGGGUAGCGGAGAAAUUCCAAUCGAACUUGGAGAUAGCUGGUUCUCUCCGAAAUAGCUUUAGGGCUAGCCUCAUGUUGUAAGAGUCUUGGAGGUAGAGCACUGUUUGGACUAGGGGCCCCCAUCGGGUUACCGAAUUCAGACAAACUCCGAAUGCCAAAGACUUAUCCAUGGGAGUCAGACUGCGAGUGAUAAGAUCCGUAGUCAAAAGGGAAACAGCCCAGACCACCAGCUAAGGUCCCAAAGUAUACGUUAAGUGGAAAAGGAUGUGGAGUUGCUUAGACAACCAGGAUGUUGGCUUAGAAGCAGCCACCAUUUAAAGAGUGCGUAAUAGCUCACUGGUCGAGUGACUCCGCGCCGAAAAUGUACCGGGGCUAAACGUAUCACCGAAGCUGUGGGUGGACACCAUCAGGUGUCCGCGGUAGGAGAGCGUUCUAAGUGCAUCGAAGUCAGACCGCAAGGACUGGUGGAGCGCUUAGAAGUGAGAAUGCCGGUAUGAGUAGCGAAAGAUGGGUGAGAAUCCCAUCCACCGAAUGCCUAAGGUUUCCUGAGGAAGGCUCGUCCGCUCAGGGUUAGUCGGGACCUAAGCCGAGGCCGAAAGGCGUAGGCGAUGGACAACAGGUUGAUAUUCCUGUACCACCUCUUUACCGUUUGAGCAAUGGGGGGACGCAGGAGGAUAGGGUAAGCGCGCUGUUGGAUAUGCGCGUCCAAGCAGUUAGGCUGCAAACGAGGCAAAUCCCGUUUGCAUCAGGCUGAGCUGUGACGGCGAGGGAAAUUUAGUACCGAAGUUCCUGAUUCCACACUGCCAAGAAAAGCCUCUAGCGAGGGAAAAGGUGCCCGUACCGCAAACCGACACAGGUAGGCGAGGAGAGAAUCCUAAGGUGAGCGAGAGAACUCUCGUUAAGGAACUCGGCAAAAUGACCCCGUAACUUCGGGAGAAGGGGUGCUUUUUAGGGUGAAUAGCCCGGAAAAGCCGCAGUGAAUAGGCCCAGGCGACUGUUUAGCAAAAACACAGGUCUCUGCGAAGCCGCAAGGCGAAGUAUAGGGGCUGACGCCUGCCCGGUGCUGGAAGGUUAAGAGGAGGGGUUAGCGCAAGCGAAGCUCUGAAUCGAAGCCCCAGUAAACGGCGGCCGUAACUAUAACGGUCCUAAGGUAGCGAAAUUCCUUGUCGGGUAAGUUCCGACCCGCACGAAAGGCGUAACGAUCUGGGCACUGUCUCAACGAGAGACUCGGUGAAAUUAUAGUACCUGUGAAGAUGCAGGUUACCCGCGACAGGACGGAAAGACCCCGUGGAGCUUUACUGCAGCCUGAUAUUGAAUUUUGGUACAGCUUGUACAGGAUAGGUAGGAGCCUUUGAAGCCGGAGCGCCAGCUUCGGUGGAGGCAUUGGUGGGAUACUACCCUGGCUGUAUUGAAAUUCUAACCCGCGCCCCUGAUCGGGGCGGGAGACAGUGUCAGGCGGGCAGUUUGACUGGGGCGGUCGCCUCCUAAAAAGUAACGGAGGCGCCCAAAGGUUCCCUCAGAAUGGUUGGAAAUCAUUCGCAGAGUGUAAAGGCACAAGGGAGCUUGACUGCGAGACCUACAAGUCGAGCAGGGACGAAAGUCGGGCUUAGUGAUCCGGUGGUUCCGCAUGGAAGGGCCAUCGCUCAACGGAUAAAAGCUACCCCGGGGAUAACAGGCUUAUCUCCCCCAAGAGUCCACAUCGACGGGGAGGUUUGGCACCUCGAUGUCGGCUCAUCGCAUCCUGGGGCUGUAGUCGGUCCCAAGGGUUGGGCUGUUCGCCCAUUAAAGCGGUACGCGAGCUGGGUUCAGAACGUCGUGAGACAGUUCGGUCCCUAUCCGUCGUGGGCGCAGGAAAUUUGAGAGGAGCUGUCCUUAGUACGAGAGGACCGGGAUGGACGCACCGCUGGUGUACCAGUUGUCUUGCCAAAGGCAUCGCUGGGUAGCUAUGUGCGGAAGGGAUAAGUGCUGAAAGCAUCUAAGCAUGAAGCCCCCCUCGAGAUGAGAUUUCCCAUAGCGUCAUCCUGGGGCUGUAGUCGGUCCCAAGGGUUGGGCUGUUCGCCCAUUAAAGCGGUACGCGAGCUGGGUUCAGAACGUCGUGAGACAGUUCGGUCCCUAUCCGUCGUGGGCGCAGGAAAUUUGAGAGGAGCUGUCCUUAGUACGAGAGGACCGGGAUGGACGCACCGCUGGUGUACCAGUUGUCUUGCCAAAGGCAUCGCUGGGUAGCUAUGUGCGGAAGGGAUAAGUGCUGAAAGCAUCUAAGCAUGAAGCCCCCCUCGAGAUGAGAUUUCCCAUAAGGUUGAUAGGUCUGAGGUGGAAGCGUGGUGACACGUGGAGCUGACAGAUACUAAUAGAUCGAGGACUUAACCACAUUU
RNAcentral lists this ribosomal RNA (3059 nucleotides) under Bacillus infantis. RNAcentral's name for it is "23S ribosomal RNA". It matches the Rfam family "Bacterial large subunit ribosomal RNA". The record is from RNAcentral. Lineage: Bacteria; Bacillati; Bacillota; Bacilli; Caryophanales; Bacillaceae.